UACAGAGGUGGCAAGCGUUGUUCGGAAUUACUGGGCGUAAAGGGCGCGUAGGCGGUCUUGCAAGUCCUGUGUGAAAUCCCUCGGCUCAACUGAGGAACUGCACAGGAAACUGCUUGGCUUGAGUUCGGGAGAGGUAAGCGGAAUUCCUGGUGUAGCGGUGAAAUGCGUAGAUAUCAGGAGGAACACCUGUGGUGUAGACAGCUUACUGGACCAUUUCUGACGCUGAGACACGAAAGCGUGGGUAGCAAACAGG
Molecule: ribosomal RNA, 253 nt
Filed under: uncultured bacterium
Lineage: Bacteria
Description: partial 16S ribosomal RNA
Rfam family: Bacterial small subunit ribosomal RNA
Source: RNAcentral